Molecule: non-coding RNA, 72 nt
Organism: Pangasius djambal
Lineage: Eukaryota; Metazoa; Chordata; Actinopteri; Siluriformes; Pangasiidae
Source: the annotation of a GenBank genome assembly
UCCCUGAAGGACUAGUGGUUAGGCCACGGCUCUCUCACCACUGAGGGCCAGGUUCGAUUCCUGGCCAGGGGA